AACGAACGCUGGCGGCAGGCUUAACACAUGCAAGUCGAGCGCCCCGCAAGGGGAGCGGCAGACGGGUGAGUAACGCGUGGGAAUCUACCUUUUGCUACGGAAUAACUCAGGGAAACUUGUGCUAAUACCGUAUGUGCCCUUCGGGGGAAAGAUUUAUCGGCAAAGGAUGAGCCCGCGUUGGAUUAGCUAGUUGGUGGGGUAAGGCCUACCAAGGCGACGAUCCAUAGCUGGUCUGAGAGGAUGAUCAGCCACACUGGGACUGAGACACGGCCCAG
This 275-nucleotide ribosomal RNA is filed under the name uncultured bacterium. Its description in RNAcentral is "partial 16S ribosomal RNA". It matches the Rfam family "Bacterial small subunit ribosomal RNA", at positions 29 to 334 of the family's 1533-position model. The record is from RNAcentral.